UGCAAGUCGANGAUGAUGCCCAGCUUGCUGGGUGGAUUAGUGGCGAACGGGUGAGUAACACGUGAGUAACCUGCCCCUGACUCUGGGAUAAGCGUUGGAAACGACGUCUAAUACUGGAUAUGAUCACUGGCCGCAUGGUCUGGUGGUGGAAAGAUUUUUUGGUUGGGGAUGGACUCGCGGCCUAUCAGCUUGUUGGUGAGGUAAUGGCUCACCAAGGCGACGACGGGUAGCCGGCCUGAGAGGGUGACCGGCCACACUGGGACUGAGACACGGCCCAGACUCCUACGGGAGGCAGCAGUGGGGAAUAUUGCACAAUGGGCGAAAGCCUGAUGCAGCAACGCCGCGUGAGGGAUGACGGCCUUCGGGUUGUAAACCUCUUUUAGUAGGGAAGAAGCGAAAGUGACGGUACCUGCAGAAAAAGCACCGGCUAACUACGUGCCAGCAGCCGCGGUAAUACGUAGGGUGCAAGCGUUGUCCGGAAUUAUUGGGCGUAAAGAGCUCGUAGGCGGUUUGUCGCGUCUGCUGUGAAAUCCCGAGGCUCAACCUCGGGCUUGCAGUGGGUACGGGCAGACUAGAGUGCGGUAGGGGAGAUUGGAAUUCCUGGUGUAGCGGUGGAAUGCGCAGAUAUCAGGAGGAACACCGAUGGCGAAGGCAGAUCUCUGGGCCGUAACUGACGCUGAGGAGCGAAAGCAUGGGGAGCG
Molecule: ribosomal RNA, 701 nt
Filed under: bacterium
Lineage: Bacteria
Description: bacterial SSU rRNA
Rfam family: Bacterial small subunit ribosomal RNA
Source: RNAcentral